Molecule: long non-coding RNA, 2255 nt
Organism: Zea mays
Lineage: Eukaryota; Viridiplantae; Streptophyta; Magnoliopsida; Poales; Poaceae
Exons: 5
Source: RefSeq, a predicted model, not a curated record
CAGACCGCCAUCCCCCGCAACGCCCCUCCCCUCACGAUCGCGCAGACACCUUUUCGCCACCGCCCCGUCCUGAAUCUCGCCCCCCGCCGUGGAUCUCGCGCCAGCCAUGCUCGCCAAUCUCGGCUAUGCCCGCCAAUUUCGGCUAGCCCCCGUUGUACCCUCGCUUACCCUCGCACCCUCUCACACAUGCGCAUGGAAGUAGCCUCCUCGUGUUGGAAUAAAGGCCCCCCUCGCUCUGGAAGGAAGGCCCAUUCGUGCUGGAGGAAUCCUCGCCCAAAAUCCAUAGCUGUCGCACCACCUUCCAUCCUUGGCAGUUGGCACCCCCUUCGGCAGCGCCCCCCUUCUAGCCCCCUUCCAACUUUGACGCCCGCGUCAGACGGACAACGCACGAUGCAAGCCCGAGACCCCUCCCUCCCCACGCCGCCACCCACCAUGCCCUCUCCCUCCCCUCACAGCCGUCCCUCUCCCCACCCCCUGGCCCCACCGCACUAAACAGCAGCGACACACCCGUCCCUACCCCAAGGAAUCAAGAGGUCAAUCCCCCUGUGCUUCGACCAUUCUGGACCGUAUGAGUAAAGAUUCCAUUGCGAAGGAGGUGGCGGAGGCGCAAUCGGUACUAACAGUGGACGCCGUGUCUGCUGUAUUGUCAAGUUAGCUGCUCUCUCGUGCCCUCUGCAAUGUUUCCCUACCUCUUUGUUGUACGUGCCUUUGUAGCCCUAUGUACUGCCAUGAAAUGUUGGGCUCGUCGUCGUUGUAGACAUCGUGUGUGGUUUUUUGUGUGUUUGGAAUCAUCUCUGGUGUUCUUCUUGAUUCAUGCCCCCUGACUGCUUUGUCUGGCAGACGACAAGCAGGGAUGGUGCCUUAUCUUCUUUACAGCCUAACGAAUGAUGGUUUUGAGGUCAUUGUCUAAUUAGGUUUAAUCUUGGACUAAUCCAGUAAUAUUUGUUUGCCAUUGUUGAAUCGAAUACUGCUCUUUCCAUUCCCCAUCGUUUGGUGUGUUUAGACUGUAUGUGUUGGGUGAAUGGUGCCCAAAGUUUAUGAGACAUGGAAUGAGUACAAAUAAUCUGGUUGUUGUUUUUUCCAGGGUAAUUUUUCAAUAACACAUCGGGAGAUUAUUUUAUGAUGGCAUGUGGUGCAUGGUCAAACGGGUAAUGCAUGGUGCAGAUUCCAUCGGGAGUUCCACAUCUAUGUGUGCAAUCUUUUUGACACAAGACGUGUAUAUGUAAAUUAGGUCCAAUAAUACCAUGAUUCAGAUUUAGUUGUGUCAAGGCGUUUAGGAAAAAAAUGUCCCUGCUCAUCCAUAGGACCAAAAAUCGUUUCCAGGAUACUAUUUCGCUUUGGUUAGAUAGCUGGUCCAUGUAAUCUUCCUUUUCCUUUACCUCCUUUUCCUUGUCCAUGUUUGUAAAUACUUUCCUUUAUUUAUAAUUUAACCUGGUAGGGGUCUAUCUUUUAUGCCUAAACUUGACACUUCCUUCAGUUUUAACUGUUUUUUAAUCGAAGUAACCCCAUUUCCAUUCACAGAACGGAAAUACAAGUGAGAAAGAUAUUACAUACUAAUUUAAAGUUUCAUGUUCAUCGCCUCCUGAAAUGCUGCCAUAGAUGUUGCUUGUCCACUGGUCCAGCCAGUUCAGCAUUGAAGUACUCCUAGCACUGAUUUUUUUCUUUACCUGUCAUAUGUCAGAAACUUUUCAUGCAAAACAAGGAGCGGCUCGUUCAUGUCCUGAAGGGGAUUACGGUCGGAAUAGAGAAGUGCCAAGCGACACCACUAUCUCAGGAAGUGUUGAUUGUAUGGGGAGACCACAACCAGUUGUUCCUGGUGGAGGCGUUUGCAGUUCAUAGGACUCUGAAUUGGAGCGCUAGACUGGAGGUCAUAUAGAAGACAAGCCAUGUUCCUCAGCUGGAGGAUUCGACUUGCUUCAACAAGGUCAUCCUGGACUUUCUCAAAAAGCCUAAUCUGUCGGUUAAUGGUAGCUCGCAAUAAGGACAAAGGUCUCGUCGGAGAUAAGGAGAGGAUCUGCAUUUGACACCAAUAUGCGGAACCUCGUGCCCCUGCCUCUUUUGGCUCCUCCUUCUGCCCUGUCCGAGCGAUGGUGCCCAGAAACAAAGGUGAAGAGCAGAUAGCCCAGGAGGAGGUCUACUACGAGGAGUACGAGCUUGUUUAGGUGGCGUCUCCCAGUCAGCUUUAUGGCGCCAAGAAAUAAUUAUUAGUUUGCUUUAUUAUUAUUAUUUAUUUUUGUAAGACACUUCUGCAAUGU